GCACCAUUUUAAACAAAUCAUUAUAAAUACAAAAACAUUAAUUGACAUUAUCAUAAUAAAUAGAAAUUUAACAUCAUAUUUAUAUACACAAAACAAAUAUAAUAUUGUAAAAUAAUUUUAUAGUAGAAAAAUAUAAAUAUAUUGCACCAAUAACACUUCAUUACACACAUUCAGUCAAAUGAACUACCUUUACAUAUAUACCUC
Molecule: long non-coding RNA, 204 nt
Filed under: Mytilus galloprovincialis (Mediterranean mussel)
Lineage: Eukaryota; Metazoa; Mollusca; Bivalvia; Mytilida; Mytilidae
Source: RNAcentral